GGGUUGCCUUGCUUUACCUGUAUAAAUCCAUUGCUUGAUAAGACUAUAUUAUACUCUCUGUCAAACCCAGAUACCCCCUCCCUCCCUACUUGAACCACCAUCACUCUAACCCCUUAUUCUCCCCACUUUUGGGGACACUCCGCCGACCGUGGAUUUCCUGGGUUUCGUGCGUAAGACUAACUGGGUUAAGGAGAAGGGGGUAUCCUGCGGUAAUGGAUACCACAGGGAGACCGUGUCUCCAAGAAAUGCUAGCAUGUCUUACAAAAGUGGGUCUUUUUAUUGAAAGAUGUCUAGUGUUCCCAUAUAUUUGCUACACUAUGCGUACAGAUAGGCAUGUUAUGAAUUUAUGUCUUAGACAUAAAUACAGGGCCUACGUAUUUCUAAUGCCCAUCAACUCUCCUUUGCACCGUAUCUACUUCGGGUAGUGAUGUGUACUUCCGCGUAAAAGAAAUCGCGUGCUACGAGGAGGAAAACUAGAAGGUUUAUCCCCUUUUUUAUUUAUUCAUUCAUCCAUCCAUCCAUUUAUUUAUUCAUCCAUCCAUUCAUUCAUUCAUACAUUCAUUCAUUUCUGCAGUGUUUGAGACAUACUUUGGGAUUUUAAAUACAUGUCAAGUAAACAAUUGACGGCUUGAAGCGUCGAUACACCACAGGCGGCCCAAAUGCCGCCAAAAGGGUCACGUGUUGUUGUUGUUGAGUGUGUGUGAAUGAGAAUGGCGAAGAGUCACCAAGGAAUGUGUGUCGCCAAGAAUGAAGGCUCAAGAGUCUUUUAAUAAUACAUGCGAACACGCGCAUCACGAAGAAUAAAAGCGGCGAAAGGUGCCGAGCUGGAUGGCACGUGAACGAGUUGUCGUACUAUUAGAAACUCUUGCGGACGUUGAUUUAGAGAACUCACACACCACUACAUCAUUAAAAGACUCUUGAAGACUGAGAAUUGGCUGCAGAGUGUAUUAUUUGGGUGAUAAUUUAGAUAAGAAGCAGCGAUUCGAAGAGAGUUUGCGCGAAAAUAAUUCGAGACAUCGGAGAAAUAGAGAAUUUGCCACGCUUCAAUAUGCAAAUUAGCGAAGCCAUUGACAGAGGCCGGCACAGGAAGCCCAGCGCCGAGAGAUUGGGAGAUUCUGCGAGUGAGGUAGGCUCAAAUGUUUCCAUCACUAGCUCUUUGUUAGCGAAGAAAGCGGCUGCGAAAAGGGCUGUUGCUCAAUUAAAACUAAUACAACUACAAAGGAGACAAGAAAUGGAAAUAAAGGAAAAUGAGAUGUAA
Long non-coding RNA from Nematostella vectensis (starlet sea anemone), 1258 nucleotides. RefSeq lists it as uncharacterized. NCBI's taxonomy places the organism in Eukaryota, Metazoa, Cnidaria, Anthozoa, Actiniaria, Edwardsiidae. The transcript is spliced from 2 exons. The record is from RefSeq and is a predicted model, not a curated record.